RNAcentral lists this ribosomal RNA (429 nucleotides) under uncultured bacterium. RNAcentral's name for it is "bacterial SSU rRNA". It matches the Rfam family "Bacterial small subunit ribosomal RNA", at positions 355 to 774 of the family's 1533-position model. The record is from RNAcentral.
UGGGGAAUCUUGCGCAAUGGGCGAAAGCCUGACGCAGCGACGCCGCGUGGGGGAGGAAGCUUUUCGGAGUGUAAACCUCUGUCAGGGGGGAAGAAUGGGCCGGGGAGGAAAUGCCUCGGUUUUGACGGUACCUCCAAAGGAAGCACCGGCUAACUCUGUGCCAGCAGCCGCGGUAAUACAGAGGGUGCGACGUUGUUCGGAAUUACUGGGGCGUAAAGCGCGCGCAGGCGGUCCUUUAAGUCUACCCGUGAAAUGCCGGAGCUCAACUCCGUGCACGCCGGGGGAUACUGGGGGACUGGAGACAUGUAGUGGCAAGCGGAAUUCCGGGUGUAGCGGUGGAAUGCGUAGAUAUCCGGAAGAACACCUGAGGCGAAGGCGGCUUGCUGGGCAUGAUCUGACGCUGAGGCGCGAAAGCGUGGGGAGCAAACA